UAGGCUUAGCUGCGGAAAGCAAGCCGAAAGGGAGGUCUCCAAACUAGAGAGCUGACUGCCGUUCUAGCCUUGACUCCCCCAGUCCAGCGGCCCCUCAAGCUUGGGCCACACCCUAGAGCCUGGUUUUCAAACCACAGCCUCCCCGUCCCCUUCCAGUUUCAGGAAAUCAGUUUAGUUGAUUCUUGCCAGCAUGAAAAACAAAGCAAAGCAAAGCAAAUGAACAAGCCAAAACAAAUCACUAAAGAGAAACAGAACGGGGAAGGACCAGGCUCUCCUGCAUGGUAAAGAUUGGAGGCUCCUGGGCUGGAGAGGGACAGAAGAGAUCCUCGCAUGGAGCUGUGUGGAGUACGUGCUUGAGAAAUAACUAUUUGAACCUGACAAACAUUUAAUCUGUCCACGUGGCCCCUGCCUUCUUCCCCGAUCUAAGGGUCUUGGUGCUCCGGCCAGGUGUCAGGCCUGAGACUCUGAGGUGGGAGAGCCAAGUUCAGGACAUUGGACCACCAGAGACCUCCCAGCCCCAUGUAAUAUCAAUUGGCGAGAGCUCUCCCAGAGAUCUCCGUCUCAAUGCUAAGACCCAGCUCCACUCAAUGACCAGCAAGCUCCAGUGCUGGACACUCCAUGCCAAACAACUAGCAAGACAAAAACACAACCCCACCCAUUAGCAGAGAGGCUGCCUAAAAUCAUAAUAAGUUCACAGACACUCCAAAACACACCACCGGACACAGUCCUGCCCACCAGAAAGACGAGAUCAAGCCUCAUCCACCAGAACACAGGAACGAGUCCCCUCCACCAGGAAGCCUACACAACCCACUGAACCAACCUCACCCACUGGGGGCAGACACCAAAAACAACGGGAAGUACGAUCCUGCAGCCUGUGAAAAGGAGACCCCAAACACAGUAAGAUAAGCAAAAUGAGAAGACAGAGAAACACACAGCAGAUGAAGGAAC
Long non-coding RNA from Mesoplodon densirostris (Blainville's beaked whale), 948 nucleotides. RefSeq lists it as uncharacterized. The record is from RefSeq and is a predicted model, not a curated record. Lineage: Eukaryota; Metazoa; Chordata; Mammalia; Artiodactyla; Ziphiidae. The transcript is spliced from 4 exons.